This 1029-nucleotide long non-coding RNA is filed under the name Anser brachyrhynchus (Pink-footed goose). RNAcentral describes it as "lncRNA (ENSABRG00000011379.1)". Lineage: Eukaryota; Metazoa; Chordata; Aves; Anseriformes; Anatidae. The record is from RNAcentral.
CCCCCAUUGGCCGCCCCGUUGGCGGCGCCGUUGGCCGUUAACCCCCCUCCGCAGGUAGGAGGAGCCGCGGCGCGGGCCGGCCGCCUCCCAUUGGCCCUCCGCGGCGCAAGCCCCGCCUGUUCCUCACAGCCCCGCCCCCUCCGCCGCCAUUUUGAAGCCACCCCCGAGGAGGGGGUCCUGCCCGGCCUCAACAUGGCGCCGGGGGGGCGGCGGCGGCGAGGGGUGGCGGCGGCGCUGCGCUGGUACCAGAUCCCGCUGUCCUCCGCCCGCGUGCCGCGCUCCGGCCUCUUCAGCUACAGCUUCCAGGCCAGCCUGCGCUCCUACCAGCAGCUGCGCGUUCAAAAGCGCCUGCGCGUGGGCCGCCCCGUGGCCCCGCCGCCCCCCGGGCUGCUGGCGCCGUGGCCGCCGCCACCACCGUCACCGCCCGGCCUGCUGCAGGCACCGGGCGCGCCUGGGGGGACAGCCCCGCGGCGCCCCAAGGAGCCUCCCAGCACCCAGAGGAGGCUGAGCAGGGGACGGCGGCCACGCCGCCCUGCUCGGCCCCGUGGCGAGCAGCGGGACGCGGCACCGCGCCGGGAGGAACCGGGCCGUUCCCAGCACAGCCCGGUGCUGCUGGGGGUGGCCGCGGCGAGCCCCGGGGCUGACAGCAGCCAUGGGCAGCACACCACGGCCAGGACAGCACCGCAGGAAGCAGGGGAUGCAGCAGGGGACGCGACGACAGGACGGGAGUCCCCCGGGGACAGCGAGGACGACCUGAUCCCGCUGCGGGAGCUGCUGCUGUUGGGCAGCGCGCCCCCGAGCCCCACAGAGCCCCACGAGCAGACCCCGCGGCCGUGCCCGGAGCCGCUCGCCAACAGCCUGGAGGCGCUGCUGCGGGAGAAGAGGGAGCAGUGCCUCGCGCCCACACUGCCACGGGUGCCCGUGGAUGACGGCAGCCUGCAGGAGCCCCCGGGCGACGCCGCGCAGCUCCCGGAGGAGCAGAGGUACGGCUGCGAGCCGGCAGGUACCCCUCCUGGGGAGGGGGGGGGG